Molecule: unclassified non-coding RNA, 278 nt
Filed under: Hevea brasiliensis (rubber tree)
Lineage: Eukaryota; Viridiplantae; Streptophyta; Magnoliopsida; Malpighiales; Euphorbiaceae
Source: RNAcentral
AAAAGUUUCAUAGUGGAAAGAGAGGUUUAGAGGUGAAUUUGGUGUUUGGGAACCAUUGAGUGACCCUCCUUUUUUUUAUGCCUGAUUAGGCUAAAUUUCACUUGUUGUCCUUAACCUUGGAGCUCUAUAACUAUGUCGUCCCUGAAUUUCAAUUUGUAAUGUAAACAUCUAAACUUCAAUUUGGGUAAUAUUAAAGCUCUUCUAACUUUUUAUAGCUGGUUUUUCGGUUAAAAAUCUAAUUUAGCAUCAUUAAAAUUAAAAAAUAGAAUAAAAUAAAA